CCCAGGCUUCUUAUCUCUUCCAACAUAUCUAGCUCUUCUAUCUUAUUCUUAAUCAUGUCCUUUUUUUUUAUUAUAUUCCCAUUUGUAGCUCUAUUCUAGGUCUUGAGUUUAGAUCACAAAUACCUGAGCUUGCCCAUCAUGUUGAUCGUUGCAUCGGAUGACUAGGGUGCAGAGUCCCACUAUUGCCGUAUCAUAUCAUCAAAACCUGGCAUGCAUAUCCAGAAGGCCUCAAACCUGAAUGGCUUCCUUGGUAUGGGUUGCUUCAUCCACUCUAGGUAUGGUUUGAGGUUGUUUUGUGCAUAGGCUCCAAAGAUGCAUC
RNAcentral lists this long non-coding RNA (319 nucleotides) under Elaeis guineensis (African oil palm). RNAcentral's name for it is "long non-coding RNA (EGUI_LNC002349)". Lineage: Eukaryota; Viridiplantae; Streptophyta; Magnoliopsida; Arecales; Arecaceae. The record is from RNAcentral.